Molecule: ribosomal RNA, 430 nt
Filed under: Microvirga ossetica
Lineage: Bacteria; Pseudomonadati; Pseudomonadota; Alphaproteobacteria; Hyphomicrobiales; Methylobacteriaceae
Also listed under: 2 other names
Description: partial 16S ribosomal RNA
Rfam family: Bacterial small subunit ribosomal RNA
Source: RNAcentral
UGGGGAAUAUUGGACAAUGGGGGGAACCCUGAUCCAGCCAUGCCGCGUGUGUGAAGAAGGCCUUUUGGUUGUAAAGCACUUUAAGCGAGGAGGAGGAGCUCUAGAUUAAUACUCUAGAUGCUUGGACGUUACUCGCAGAAUAAGCACCGGCUAACUCUGUGCCAGCAGCCGCGGUAAUACAGAGGGUGCAAGCGUUAAUCGGAUUUACUGGGCGUAAAGCGUGCGUAGGUGGUCUUUUAAGUCGGAUGUGAAAUCCCUGAGCUUAACUUAGGAAUUGCAUUCGAUACUGGGAGACUAGAGUAUGGGAGAGGAUGGUAGAAUUCCAGGUGUAGCGGUGAAAUGCGUAGAGAUCUGGAGGAAUACCGAUGGCGAAGGCAGCCAUCUGGCCUAAUACUGACACUGAGGUACGAAAGCAUGGGGAGCAAACAGG